Molecule: ribosomal RNA, 478 nt
Filed under: uncultured bacterium
Lineage: Bacteria
Description: partial 16S ribosomal RNA
Rfam family: Bacterial small subunit ribosomal RNA
Source: RNAcentral
GACGAACGCUGGCGGCGUGCUUAACACAUGCAAGUCGAACGGUAAGGCCCUUCGGGGUACACGAGUGGCGAACGGGUGAGUAACACGUGGGUGAUCUGCCCUGCACUUCGGGAUAAGCCUGGGAAACGGGGUCUAAUACCGGAUAGGACUCUUGGAGUCAUGGUUGGGGGUGUAAAGCUUUUGCGGUGUGGGAUGGGCCCGCGGCCUAUCAGCUUGUUGGUGGGGUAAUGGCCGACCAAGGCGACGACGGGUAGCCGGCCUGAGAGGGUGACCGGUCACACUGGGACUGAGAUACGGCCCAGACUCCUACGGGAGGCAGCAGUGGGGAAUAUUGCACAAUGGGCGCAAGCCUGAUGCAGCGACGCCGCGUGAGGGAUGACGGCCUUCGGGUUGUAAACCUCUUUCAGCUAUGACGAAGCGCAAGUGACGGUAGUAGCAGAAGAAGGACCGGCCAACUACGUGCCAGCCGCCGCUGUAA